UCUUCGGUAGUAUAGUGGUUAGUAUUCGCGCCUGUCAUGAGUUUGACUCUAGAUCGCGCGAGACCCGGGUUCAAUUCCCGGCCGGAGAG
Transfer RNA from Sphaerobolus stellatus SS14, 89 nucleotides. It matches the Rfam family "tRNA". From Rfam's summary of the family: Transfer RNA (tRNA) molecules are approximately 80 nucleotides in length. The record is from Rfam. NCBI's taxonomy places the organism in Eukaryota, Fungi, Basidiomycota, Agaricomycetes, Geastrales, Sphaerobolaceae.